GUGGGGAAUUUUGGACAAUGGGCGAAAGCCUGAUCCAGCCAUGCCGCGUGCAGGAUGAAGGCCUUCGGGUUGUAAACUGCUUUUGUACGGAACGAAACGGCUCUUUCUAAUAAAGGGGGCUAAUGACGGUACCGUAAGAAUAAGCACCGGCUAACUACGUGCCAGCAGCCGCGGUAAUACGUAGGGUGCGAGCGUUAAUCGGAAUUACUGGGCGUAAAGCGUGCGCAGGCGGUGAUGUAAGACAGAUGUGAAAUCCCCGGGCUCAACCGGGGAACUGCAUUUGUGACUGCAGCGCUGGAGUGCGGCAGGGGGGGAGGGAAUUCCGCGUGUAGCAGUGAAAUGCGUAGAUAUGCGGAGGAACACCGAUGGCGAAGGCAAUCCCCUGGGCCUGCACUGACGCUCAUGCACGAAAGCGUGGGGAGCAAACAGGAUUAGAAACCCGUGUAGUCC
Molecule: ribosomal RNA, 450 nt
Filed under: uncultured bacterium
Lineage: Bacteria
Description: partial 16S ribosomal RNA
Rfam family: Bacterial small subunit ribosomal RNA
Source: RNAcentral